CCUACGGGAGGCAGCAGUGGAGAAUCAUGCACAAUGGGGGAAAGCCUGAUGCAGCGACGCCGCGUGGGGGAAGGAAGGUCUCCGGAUGGUAAACUCCUUUCAUGUGGGAGCAAAUUAAAAAGAUAGUACCACAAGAGGAAGAGACGGCUAACGCUGUUGCAGCAGCCGCGGUAAUACAGAGGUCUCAAGCGUUGGUCGGAAUUACUGGGCGAAAAGGGUGCGUAGGCUGUGUCGUAAGUCGUGUGUGAAAGGGGCGGUCUCAACACGAGGACGGCACUUGGAACUGUGAUACUAGAGUAGUGGAGGGGGAAGCGGAAUUCCCGGUGUAGCGGUGAAAUGCGUAGAUAUUAGGAAGAACACCCGUGGCGAAGGCGGCUUUCUGGACUUUAACUGACGCUGAGGCACGAAGGCCUGGGGAGCGAAAAGGAUUAGAUACCCGAGUAGUC
RNAcentral lists this ribosomal RNA (446 nucleotides) under uncultured bacterium. RNAcentral describes it as "partial 16S ribosomal RNA". It matches the Rfam family "Bacterial small subunit ribosomal RNA", at positions 338 to 795 of the family's 1533-position model. The record is from RNAcentral.